GAUGAACGCUGGCGGCGUGCCUAAUACAUGCAAGUCGAGCGAACAGACGAGGAGCUUGCUCCUCUGACGUUAGCGGCGGACGGGUGAGUAACACGUGGAUAACCUACCUAUAAGACUGGGAUAACUUCGGGAAACCUGAGCUAAUACCGGAUAAUAUAUUGAACCGCAUGGUUCAAUAGUGAAAGACGGUUUUGCUGUCACUUUUAGAUGGAUCCGCGCCGCAUUAGCUAGUUGGUAAGGUAACGGCUUACCAAGGCAACGAUGCGUAGCCGACCUGAGAGGGUGAUCGGCCACACUGGAACUGAGACACGGUCCAGACUCCUACGGGAGGCAGCAGUAGGGAAUCUUCCGCAAUGGGCGAAAGCCUGACGGAGCAACGCCGCGUGAGUGAUGAAGGUCUUCGGAUCGUAAAACUCUGUUAUUAGGGAAGAACAAAUGUGUAAGUAACUAUGCACGUCUUGACGGUACCUAAUCAGAAAGCCACGGCUAACUACGUG
This 497-nucleotide ribosomal RNA is filed under the name uncultured bacterium. RNAcentral's name for it is "partial 16S ribosomal RNA". It matches the Rfam family "Bacterial small subunit ribosomal RNA", at positions 28 to 507 of the family's 1533-position model. The record is from RNAcentral.